Molecule: ribosomal RNA, 399 nt
Filed under: uncultured bacterium
Lineage: Bacteria
Description: bacterial SSU rRNA
Rfam family: Bacterial small subunit ribosomal RNA
Source: RNAcentral
GAAUAUUGCACAAUGGGGGAAACCCUGAUGCAGCGACGCCGCGUGAGUGAAGAAGCGCCUCGGCGCGUAAAGCUCUGUCAGCAGGAACGAAAAUGACGGUACCUGACUAAGAAGCCCCGGCUAAUUACGUGCCAGCAGCCGCGGUAAUACGUAAGGGGCAAGCGUUAUCCGGAUUUACUGGGUGUAAAGGGAGCGUAGACGGCAGUGCAAGUCUGAUGUGAAAGCCCGGGGCUCAACCCCGGGACUGCAUUGGAAACUGUGCAGCUAGAGUGUCGGAGAGGUAAGUGGAAUUCCUAGUGUAGCGGUGAAAUGCGUAGAUAUUAGGAGGAACACCAGUGGCGAAGGCGGCUUACUGGACGAUAACUGACGUUGAGGCUCGAAAGCGUGGGGAGCAAACAG